GAUGAACGCUGGCGGCGUGCCUAAUACAUGCAAGUCGAGCGAACAGACGAGGAGCUUGCUCCUCUGACGUUAGCGGCGGACGGGUGAGUAACACGUGGAUAACCUACCUAUAAGACCGGGAUAACUUCGGGAAACCGGAGCUAAUACCGGAUAAUAUAUUGAACCGCAUGGUUCAAUAGUGAAAGACGGUUUUGCUGUCACUUAUAGAUGGAUCCGCGCCGCAUUAGCUAGUUGGUAAGGUAACGGCUUACCAAGGCAACGAUGCGUAGCCGACCUGAGAGGGUGAUCGGCCACACUGGAACUGAGACACGGUCCAGAUUCCUACGGGAGGCAGCAGUAGGGAAUCUUCCGCAAUGGGCGAAAGCCUGACGGAGCAACGCCGCGUGAGUGAUGAAGGUCUUCGGAUCGUAAAACUCUGUUAUUAGGGAAGAACAAAUGUGUAAGUAACUAUGCACGUCUUGACGGUACCUAAUCAGAAAGCCACGGCUAACUACGUG
Molecule: ribosomal RNA, 497 nt
Filed under: uncultured bacterium
Lineage: Bacteria
Description: partial 16S ribosomal RNA
Rfam family: Bacterial small subunit ribosomal RNA
Source: RNAcentral